GUCUCGCUGAAGCCACGAAGUCUGUGUGUAUCGUAUCUGGGAUGUAACAUUACUCAAAUGAGCAGAGGAUCUUGCUUGUUCUUUUGCUUAUCUGCUGAAAACACUUCACUGGAUAAAACACAUCAGGUAAGAUAACGUUACAUGUGUUGUGGAACAGAGCUAAGCUAGCUAGCAAGUUGAGCAUCAAGCUAGGUGACGUAAAUUGUGUGAGACAAGAGAUGUACCUAGUUCACUGAGUGGUUUCACACA
Long non-coding RNA from Sander lucioperca (pikeperch), 249 nucleotides. RefSeq lists it as uncharacterized. The record is from RefSeq and is a predicted model, not a curated record. The transcript has 3 exons. Lineage: Eukaryota; Metazoa; Chordata; Actinopteri; Perciformes; Percidae.